AGAGUUUGAUCCUGGCUCAGAACGAACGCUGGCGGCGCGCCUAAUACAUGCAAGUCGAGCGAGAAGGUGUAGCAAUACACUUGUAAAGCGGCGAACGGGUGAGGAAUACAUGGGUAAUCUACCAUCGAGUGGGGAAUAACCAACCGAAAGGUUGGCUAAUACCGCGUACGCCUCCGAGUCUUCGGGUUCGGAGGGAAAGCUGCACUGUGAGUGUAGCGCUCUUUGAUGAGCUCAUGUCCUAUCAGCUUGUUGGUAGGGUAACGGCCUACCAAGGCUUUGACGGGUAGCUGGUCUGAGAGGACGAUCAGCCACACUGGCACUGCGACACGGGCCAGACUCCUACGGGAGGCAGCAGUAAGGAAUAUUGCGCAAUGGGCGAAAGCCUGACGCAGCGACGCCGCGUGGGGGAUGAAGGUCUUCGGAUUGUAAACCCCUUUCGGGGGGGAAGAUGGAGCGAGCAAUCGUUCGGACGGUACCUCCAGAAGCAGCCACGGCCAACUUCGUGCCAGCAGCCGCGGUAAUACGAAGGUGGCAAGCGUUGUUCGGAUUCACUGGGCGUACAGGGUGUGUAGGCGGUUUGGUAAGCCUUCUGUUAAAGCUUCGGGCCCAACCCGGAAAGCGCAGAGGGUACUGCCAGGCUAGAGGGUGGGAGAGGAGCGCGGAAUUCCCGGUGUAGCGGUGAAAUGCGUAGAGAUCGGGAGGAAGGCCGGUGGCGAAGGCGGCGCUCUGGAACAUACCUGACGCUGAGACACGAAAGCGUGGGGAGCAAACAGGAUUAGAUACCCUGGUAGUCCACGCCC
This 800-nucleotide ribosomal RNA is filed under the name uncultured bacterium. RNAcentral's name for it is "bacterial SSU rRNA". It matches the Rfam family "Bacterial small subunit ribosomal RNA", at positions 8 to 802 of the family's 1533-position model. The record is from RNAcentral.